Long non-coding RNA from Alexandromys fortis (reed vole), 1783 nucleotides. RefSeq lists it as uncharacterized. The record is from RefSeq and is a predicted model, not a curated record. The transcript is spliced from 3 exons. Lineage: Eukaryota; Metazoa; Chordata; Mammalia; Rodentia; Cricetidae.
UAAAACAUGGUCAAGUAUUAGGUUCGUAUGCACAGCAUAUUCUUAGUUAAUCAGAACCAUGCUCAAGACAAGUGAUUUGUCCCAAGGCAGAAAGGGAAAUGAGUCACAAAGGCCCCAAGCCCCUGUGCACAUACUGACUGUUGGGUAUAAUCAACGUUUGGUGCUUGCCUUAAGCAGAAAUGAACCCUGCACCACCAGCCGGGGUUCCCAUGACCAAAAGAGGGUGUCUCUGCAACUUUAUCCCCACUACACAGCACUUCUUAAACUCUGUGAGAUGCUGGAAAAUUGAAGAAUCUGCUCAUUUGGCUAAAGCACCUUUUUUUGCAUCUUGGGGCGGGGGUAACAGUCCGUGUGUAGGCAGGCCCUCGGAGAGGGACAGACACCUGCAGCCUCUCUCAGACUUGACUCAGGAAUUCCUUUUCCCAGACACCAUUAUGCUCUCCUAACCAGAGGACAGUGCUGAAGAGCCGCUGGGCUGUAGUCCUUUGCUCUGAGACGCAGGACAGAUGUUCCUAACUUCACCUUGCUUUACCUGUCUCUGGUGUGUCAGAGAUGAGGAAGCAAAGAAACAGCAGGUAACUUGUGAAGAUGGAUGCUGUUCUAUUGCCUGAUGCUUUAAUAAAAACAUGAAGCAUAGUAUGGAAGCAAUGAAAUGAAAACAAAAUCUGUCCUUAUAAUCAGAAAGCCACUGGAAUAUCUUACCUUCCAGAGAGAGGUAUGCAUGAGGUAUGCUGAGUAAGAUGGCCCAGCAGGCAAAGGAGUCUGUGCCAAACCUGAGAACCUGAGUUUGAUCCUCCAGAAACACGCGGCAGCAGGAGAGUGACUCCUGCAAGCUGCCUUCUGACCUCCACGUAUGUGUGCACUGUGGCAUGCUCAUGCCCUACUCCACUGACACACAAAAGUGAAAGACAAAACAAGAGCGGUAUACACUCAAAACUUUCCAGUUGAAACAUGAGGCCUUGGCUUUGUUCAUAUGACUAAAUCAAGGGGUUAAGAGUAUAGAUAAAGAAUGGCAACUAUACAGCAACAUUGUUUUCCAUUUUUUUACUAUUGACACUAAUUUGUGUAUUCUUAAAGAGUUUGAGAAUAGAAUUUACAAACAACAGCUUGGAAGUGGUCUGUCCUUAUAGAUUAGGGUAAGAUGGUCCAUCACCACACACAUAUGUGUUGUAACUCAUUUUCUGUAUUAAACUAGAUUAAAGGUUCUGCUGUGUGUGUGUGUGCAGGUGUGCGGGUGUGUGCGGGUGUGUGUGUGGUGUAUGCAUGUGUAGACAUUUACACAUUGCCAACAUCAGAAGUCAGAGUGAAGUUUCCACUUCAACACUCCCCAUUUUAUUUUUUAAGACAGUCUCUCACUAAACCUUGAGCUCAUCAAUUAGACUAGGCUUAGCCAGCCAGCCAGCUCCAGGAAUCCCCGUCUCCACCUCCCCAGCUCCAGGACUACAUGUGGGAGCCUCUAUGACUAGUUUUACACAGGUCCAGGAAUUAAAUUCAGGCUGCCCUCACUGUCCCCACAGAACCACCUCCCAGUCCCUCCUUGCUCUUUUAUAGUACAUAACACAAAACAUGUUAGCAAAUGUUUCCUAUGAAGUGCUAGACAGGAGGAGUCUGUCACGUGGACUGCGCAUUCUCCAUGCACACUCAACUCUGAGCUGCUACACAAGUGAAGCAGUGAGAGAAUGAGCACGCGUGAAGCAGUGAGAAUGAGCACGCAUGAAGCAGUGUGUAAGAGAAUGAGCACGCGUGAAGCAGUGUGUAAGAGAAUGAGCACGCGUGAAGCAGU